This is a non-coding RNA of Pelobates cultripes (western spadefoot toad), 550 nucleotides long. NCBI's taxonomy places the organism in Eukaryota, Metazoa, Chordata, Amphibia, Anura, Pelobatidae. The record is from the annotation of a GenBank genome assembly.
CUCGAUAGUUAUUAUUACUCCUGGAUAAAUUAGGAGAAGAUGGGGGAUUUCUACAGCCAUAAAAUGUGCAGCUGUUUGUACCACACUUGAAAACACUCAGCUUUCAAAAGGUGUCACCCACCAAGCAACAGUUACAUCACUGGAAAAUGGAGGAAGUAGCACAUCAGAAAGCAUUUUGGGUCACCACAUUAACAGACAUUGCACCUGUAUCGAGGAAGGAGUCAAUCUAAAUAACACACGCUACUGUUGGUGAAUUAGUCUGGGCUCUUUUUUUUAGGUGAUGAGAGUACAGGGGCAAUUUAAUUGUUCGGUCAUACAUAUUGAAUCUGUAUCUUCUGCUUGUUUCGCGUUCCUUCCACUGUAAGUAUAGUUAGUAAUAGGGCAUAUAGUAUGAAAAGACUGGAGUGAUAAAUAUCAUAUGUUUCAUAUUCUUUUUAUUGUAUAUAUGUUUCAUUCCACAAAACCCCUUUAGUCGUGGAGGUAACUUUUUGUUUUUCAUUUUUAAACAAGGAACAACUGCUCCCUAUAAUUUUACAUUUUAUGUUUACUU